UACGUAGGGGGCAAGCGUUGUCCGGAAUCAUUGGGCGUAAAGAGCGCGUAGGCGGUCCGGUAAGUCAGCUGUGAAAGUCAGGGGCUCAACCCUUGAAAGCCGGUUGAUACUGUCGGGCUAGAGUCCGGAAGAGGCGAGUGGAAUUCCCGGUGUAGCGGUGAAAUGCGCAGAUAUCGGGAGGAACACCAAUGGCGAAGGCAGCUCGCUGGGACGGUACUGACGCUGAGGCGCGAAAGCGUGGGGAGCGAACAGG
This 253-nucleotide ribosomal RNA is filed under the name uncultured bacterium. Its description in RNAcentral is "partial 16S ribosomal RNA". It matches the Rfam family "Bacterial small subunit ribosomal RNA", at positions 524 to 776 of the family's 1533-position model. The record is from RNAcentral.